RNAcentral lists this unclassified non-coding RNA (391 nucleotides) under soil metagenome. RNAcentral describes it as "partial contains 5.8S ribosomal RNA, internal transcribed spacer 2, and large subunit ribosomal RNA". The stretch from base 1 to 122 matches the Rfam family "5.8S ribosomal RNA", at positions 35 to 154 of the family's 154-position model. The record is from RNAcentral.
GAUGAAGAACGUAGCGAAAUGCGAUACUUGGUGUGAAUUGCAGAAUCCCGUGAACCAUCGAGUCUUUGAACGCAAGUUGCGCCCGAAGCCAUUAGGCCGAGGGCACGCCUGCCUGGGCGUCACACGUCGUUGCCCCCCCAUCUACUCCUUCGGGAUUGCGGGGGGCGGAUGAUGGCCUCCCGUGCGCCUCGUCGCGCGGUCGGCCUAAAUGCCAAGUCCUCGGCGACGCACGCCACGACAAUCGGUGGUUGCGAAACCUCGGUUGCCUGUCGUGUGCGGUCGUCGCGCAUCGAGGGCUCGAAAAAAUUGCCGGGCUUCGGCUCGACUUUCAACGCGACCCCAGGUCAGGCGGGGUUACCCGCUGAAUUUAAGCAUAUCAAUAAGCGGAGGA